This 72-nucleotide transfer RNA is filed under the name Candidatus Buchananbacteria bacterium RIFCSPHIGHO2_01_FULL_40_35. RNAcentral's name for it is "tRNA-Cys". It matches the Rfam family "tRNA". Rfam says of the family: Transfer RNA (tRNA) molecules are approximately 80 nucleotides in length. Their secondary structure includes four short double-helical elements and three loops (D, anti-codon, and T loops). RNAcentral also lists the same sequence under 2 other names. Lineage: Bacteria; Candidatus Buchananiibacteriota. The record is from RNAcentral.
GGCCAGGUAGCCAAGUAGUAAGGCGGCGGUCUGCAAAACCGCUAGGCACGGGUGCAACUCCCGUCCUGGCCU